Puntigrus tetrazona (Sumatra barb) is the source of this 5379-nucleotide long non-coding RNA. RefSeq lists it as uncharacterized. NCBI's taxonomy places the organism in Eukaryota, Metazoa, Chordata, Actinopteri, Cypriniformes, Cyprinidae. The record is from RefSeq and is a predicted model, not a curated record. The transcript is spliced from 3 exons.
AAAAAAAAUAGUUUCAGAUUUUCUUCCCACACAAUUCUCAGUGGGAGAUGGAGAGCAAACAGACUUUUAUCCUUCAGCAAACCCCUCCGUUCACCAGAGACAUACCAUAAGAAUACAAUUAAACUAAAAGCCUCUGAAAAGUAAUGAAAGCAGACGCUUUUACGCUCUCUGGGGCCUCAUGUCUGUUUCAUGCUCGCUCCCUCUCACACACAUUUUACACAUUGCUAUUUAUUUUCAUACCUUUUAUUACCCAAACCUUUCAUUUGAUCUCUUCAACAUUUACCUCCUUACUUCAUCCUACACACACAUAAACAAAUAUAUCGUUCACCCUGCAUGAAUGCUCCAGUCUGAUUUCUGUUCCACGCUCACCGUAAGCUUGUUUUUUGGGGUUUAAUGGCUGUGCAAAAUAAUAUAUGGGUUUGUGUGUGUGUGGGGUGAGGCUGAUGCAGACAUGCGUAUUAAGUGUGUAUUAACUCUGCCAUUGAACCCGAUGCGCAUCUCCCCAGUGGCUGCCACACUGGCUGGCACUGAAUGCAGUCAGGAGAUGAGAUUCAAGUCUAAUGAAGCAAAACGCAUAAUGCUGCCGAGGAAAGAUGGAUAGAUGGGAUUUGGAAUGAGGGAGGGAGGUAUUGUUAUCGCCUCUGUCCAUGGUUUGUGUUUUUUUGAGCUUGUCUGUCACAAAUGUGCAUGGGAGUUUUACAACUAAAGGUUCAUAUUUUUGUAUUUUUUUUUGCAUGUUUGCCUGUAGGUCAUUGUUGACAAGGUCAGGGUUGUUAAAGUUCACUAAAAGCAUAAAACAGGCUUAGAUUUUAGAAAUAUAUAAAUAUGUAUGUGCAUAUGUUAUGCAUGCAAAGACACGUGCGUAUGGAUUUGUUUGACAUUAGGAUACACGUUCCUUAAAAUUCACUUAUAAUCUGUUACACUCUGCCUCAUUUACAAAAUUUGUAGUCAAAUGCUCCGAACAAACAUACAGUCCUCGGAAGAGAUUGUUCCUUGUUCCUGACACAAGGAUCCUUCUGAAGUCUGUACAGAUUCACAGAUGAGCCGUUUAAACCGGACUCAUCCAAGCAAAUGUAUUUUUUAUUUUAUUUUUUUUACUCUUCCGUUUGUCCUGUUCUCAGGAGACUCAAGCACAUGAACUACAAAACAUCAUCUGUAUACUGCUACCAAUAUAGGACGCGUCUCUGUUUAUUAUAAGUGCACUGCUCUCAUUUGUCAGCUGUUAAGCGUCUCAGCGGCAGUGGGCGGGGCCUACGGUGCAAUAAUUUGUAACUGUUUGUGAUUUUAUUUACUCCAUGUGACUUCACAAAACCCACAAUAUCCACACAAGUCAUUUUUGGAUCAUGAUUCAAUUAAUACUUUGUAAUGUUUUACUGAAAUGGUGUAUUAAUGUUACAAAGACCUCUUGCGUGUCAAAUGCGUUUCUCAUGCAAUGACGUCUUUAAGUUCUAAACGCUGUGGCCUCUGCUAAUAAUAAUGUAAGGCCAAACGACUUGGGGAAAGUGACAUGGAUGGAGCCUGUGGGUAGCAGAUAUGGUGAUGAGAUGAAAAGAAAAAAAUGAAGGGUUGAGAGAGUGUUAAAGCAUAUGUGUUUGAUUUAGUUAUCAUUGUAGUAUGUGUACUGUGGGGCUCGUUAGUAUGAUUGUGAUAAAAUCUCGCCGGACGUGGUACAGGCUGUCUCGCUGCUUUGAUUGCAGUUGUGCGUAUGUGUGAGGCUCGUUAGUAAUGAUGCAGGGGCUCAGUGAUUAAAAUCCCCCUCCAGACCUCCGGUGUCCCACAGAACCACAGCAAACGGACUGCAAGGUUUCAGUUCAACUGCCUUGCACCCCGCUAGGUUUUGAAACGACCACGUUUUCAUGCUCAAAUUCACCUGUGAGGCCCCAAAAAGACACGCCAAGACAUGAUUACUUUAUAAAUGCACUAAAAAAUACUAAUUUAUUUUCUUUUGGAGAAAUACUUGUACUUCUCAAGGACACAUUAAUUUAAGAAUGAUAGUAAAGAUCUUUGCAAAAAACCUUCAUAUGUACUAUACGACCAUUUCCACAAAAAUGUUAAGCUGCGUAACUGGUUUGGACUUUAUUAUUAUUAUUAUUAUUAUUAUUAUAAUUAUAAAUAAUAAUAAUUAUAAUAAUAAUAAACGUUUUGUAAACAGGAAAUCAGCCUAUUAGAAUGAUUUCUGAAAGAUUGAAGCAAUGAUACAAUUCGGCUUCAUCACAGGAAUAAUUUAUAUUUUAAAACAUUUUGAAUUGUAAUAUUUCACAAUUGAUGUUUAACAGUAUUUUGAUCGUUUUCGUGAGCAUUAAACACUUAAUCUCACAAAAAAAAACCUUAGUCACGCUAAACUACUGAAAGCUGAUGGACACAAGGAUUUAAGACAAACAUAAAUGUAAAAAAACUGUUGUCUAGAUAUGUAGCUCACUUGGCAUUUGAAUGUUUACAUGCACAUAAGAUGCCCCUAAAAUCAUUUUAAGCAGAAUAUAAAAAGUUCUCUUUGUAGUGCAUGUAUUGUUUGAUGCCCAAAAAUGCUCAUUAGAUUUUGAUGACUUUUUUUGUGUUAGAAUGACUGUUUGAUUCCCAAAAACAUUUAAGUAGACGACAUACUUGAUUGUGACACACAACCAAGCAUUCACAAUGUUCUCGGUCAAGGUCAAACUCAUAUACAUCUUGUGACCAAUCCUGAGCCACCCUUACACUCUUGACUAAUGCUGACUUCAUUCAUCACACACACUUUCUCUCUAUAAUGAGCCUCUAUCUGAACCACAGCUUGAAGGAUGGAGUAGGUACAUUUUGUUUAAUCUCUUUUGCUCCUUAUUUGCCUCAAUCUUUAACACAUUGGAAGCAUUUGGAGCAUCAGACUUAUUGAUUGCUUUUGUAACGACUGACCCAAAAAAUCAAAAAGAGCAGUUUCCUUGCCGUUUUUUUUCUUCAGUGUGUUUUGAAUGUAUUCAAUUGAAACUGUCUGUGUUGUUUUUCUUUUUGUAUUUUUCUUUAUCUGUCUUCCUUUUUUUGGGGACUUUGCAGUUGCCACUGAAUGACAGACCACAAAAUUUCUCUCCAGCUCUUUUUUUUUUUUAAGCAAUCUCUAAGUUUAUCAUUUCAACAUAUGAUUCAUCUCUCUUUUUUGACGGUUUUCUUAGUAAAAAAUGUGCCUUGACCUCAACCUCAACAUUUCUCCCUUGUCCUGCUUCCUUCCUCUCUCUUCUGAUUUCUGCAAGUCUGUCCACUUCUUUUCUUUCUGUACAUUUUCUGAGUCCAGUUCCUUGCGCUCUCUCUCUCUCUCUCUCUCUCUCUCUCUCUCUCUCUCUCUCUCUCUCUCUCUCUCUCUCUCUCUCUCUCUCUCUCUCUCUCUCUGGUAGGUCUAGGAGGUGUAAUUGGCUGUGCUGCUGUUGGGGUUUUGUAUUGAGAAGGGCUUUAAUCUUUAGUUUCACUCAAAAUGCAAAGUGAAGGCUGGAGGCAGUCAGGGAUUUCACUUGCCUGCCUGUGUGUGUGUGUGUGUGUGUGGGUCUGUCUCACAUUCUGCUCUAACAAACUGCACAAGGUCUGAGUGUAUUUUAAUACAUGCUCCUAACAAACUCUACAAGGUGUUUGUGUGGCGCACAGUCACCCCACUCCGUGUGUGUGUGUGUGUGUGUGCGCUCGACUAGUGUUGAAGCUAUUCUGUUAAGCCCUAACUACUACUCAUAUUUAACUACAGUCAAGCUGCACAAAAAUUAGACACAGUGACAAAAGUACAUUGAAGUUAUUUAUUUGUCCAGUAUAUUCAGAAUUAUUUCUGCUAACUAUCAAAUGAUGCAAGAUUGCAGUCGACAGCAUUUGAGCAGAAGAAACAUGAGCAAAAUGAAUGUGUGUGAAAAAUGUGUUAAUGUUAUGCAUCUGCGAAAACAAAUGACAAGAGGCAGAAUUGUAAUUUUUGGUAUGAACUAUAACUUUAAUACAUUGUUUUUUAAUUUUAUUUUAUUUUUUGAACAGGGUUUGCUACUGAAAAAUGUAGUUACAUUAGCGAGAAUGCUUCCCCAACAUUUUGUGCGUGUGUUUGAAAUUCUUGAAAUCGUGUCACAUGGGUCAUUUUUAGGAUCGAUUCUUCACAUAUCUGUAUGCAGUUGUUCAUUAAGUUGUCUGUGCAUGCGCAUAUCUCUUCACACUAGACAGAAAUCCAAAUGCCGUUUUCUAUGUUUGCUUGCUGCGUUUUGAAGACGAGCUGUUUAAUAUAUCCCUGCUCGACCGUCUUUUGAGCGCGUGUGUAUGCGUUCUUGUGUGUUAAGUCACUGAUUGACAGAUGAAUCCCACACAAGCUCAGUGCCAAAGGAAUUUCCAGACAGAAAGCGUCAUGGCAACUUGCAAUCGCUUGCGGCGACAUGUCUUUAGAUGGUCUGCAAAGGAGAGCGUGUGGAAAAGGACUGCAAAAGGGAGGAGGAGGAGAUGAAAGAGGAAGAACAGAGAAAUAAAUGAGGGAGAUCAACAGAAGGGUGGAAGAAAAGAGUCACAAAACCCAUUGUUUUUCACACACAUGGCAGAUGAAGUCCAGCAUCCUUUAGAAAAUGAAGCAGCUUCCAUCUGAAGGAUGACAACAAACAGAUUUAAUAAUUUAAACAAAGUUGGAGAACCAAACUCGUAAGAGAGGAUGGUCAGUGAAACAGGCACUUAACCUCCAGAAUGUUCAUGGUCAACCUCAGGAGGUCAAACUAAAUAUUCUAAGGGUUUUCUGCUUUGCAAGCAGUGGUGCAGUAUUUCCUUCAAAUGUGCUUAUAAAUAAAGUUAUGUAUUCGUCACAGCCGAUUGAUAACAUGCUCUACAUUGUGCAGGAAAAAUAAUUUCCCUUUCUAAGCCCCUCCCAAGUCUUUCUGUUAUGGAUUAUUUGUUUAAAAUUAAUCCUAAUUUGUUUUUUGGUUCUUCAGAGCUCAUCAUCAUUUCUAGUAUUUCUGUGGUUGGUUCUCAAUGCAGUUUUCUGCUGCAGUAACAUUUGCAAAUAAGACGUUAAGACAUAAUUGAAAUUUUUGUACUCUAUAAAGUAUGAAUAUUUUCUCAUUAUGAACUACUUUAUAUAUUUCUGUCCAAAACAAUAUUAUUAUUAUAAUGCUUCACAUUAAAUUUGUUAACUGUAUAAAUUAACUAAAAAUGAGAAAUACUUCUAAUGCAUUUAUUAGUGUAGGUUAAUUUCAACCUUUAUUGCAUGAUAAAUGAGGGUUAAAUCUGUCACACUUUAUUUUUAAGGUACGGUUCUUGCUAUUAACUGUUUCCCCGCCAGUGUUUUUUUUAAAUUGCUAGCCAUCGCCAGCAUUUCUGAUGAUUUUCACCUAAUUUGAAGUCUUUUCAUAAUAUUUUUCUGCUGUACAUGAAUGAACAUAUUAUAUAUCAAAAUAAAGAAUCAAGACUUUGCUU